GACGAAGGGGGCUAGCGUUGUUCGGAAUUACUGGGCGUAAAGCGCGUGUAGGCGGUUGUUCAAGUCAGGUGUGAAAGCCUUGAGCUCAACUCAAGAAAUGCACUUGAUACUGGAUGGCUUGAGUUUGGGAGAGGGAUGCGGAAUUCCAGGUGUAGCGGUGAAAUGCGUAGAUAUCUGGAGGAACACCGGUGGCGAAGGCGGCAUCCUGGAC
Molecule: ribosomal RNA, 211 nt
Filed under: uncultured bacterium
Lineage: Bacteria
Description: partial 16S ribosomal RNA
Rfam family: Bacterial small subunit ribosomal RNA
Source: RNAcentral